Molecule: ribosomal RNA, 448 nt
Filed under: Tannerella forsythia
Lineage: Bacteria; Pseudomonadati; Bacteroidota; Bacteroidia; Bacteroidales; Tannerellaceae
Description: bacterial SSU rRNA
Rfam family: Bacterial small subunit ribosomal RNA
Source: RNAcentral
GAUGAACGCUAGCGAUAGGCUUAACACAUGCAAGUCGAGGGGCAUCGAGGGUAGCAAUACCUGUCGGCGACCGGCGCACGGGUGAGUAACGCGUAUGUAACCUGCCCGCAACAGAGGGAUAACCCGGCGAAAGUCGGACUAAUACCUCAUAAAACAGGGGUUCCGCACGGGGCUAUUUGUUAAAGAUUUAUUGGUUGCGGAUGGGCAUGCGUACCAUUAGGUAGUUGGUGAGGUAACGGCUCACCAAGCCAUCGAUGGUUAGGGGUUCUGAGAGGAAGGUCCCCCACACUGGUACUGAGACACGGACCAGACUCCUACGGGAGGCAGCAGUGAGGAAUAUUGGUCAAUGGGCGAGAGCCUGAACCAGCCAAGUCGCGUGAAGGAUGACUGCCCUAUGGGUUGUAAACUUCUUUUACAGGGGAAUAAAAUGAGAUACGUGUAUUUUAUU